Molecule: unclassified non-coding RNA, 295 nt
Filed under: uncultured fungus
Lineage: Eukaryota; Fungi
Description: sequence contains ITS2
Rfam family: 5.8S ribosomal RNA (bases 1-52)
Source: RNAcentral
AACGCACCUUGCGCUCCUUGGUAUUCCGAGGAGCAUGCCUGUUUGAGUGUCAUGAAAUCAUCAACCCCUCCGGCAUUUUGGUGUCGUGUGGUGGCUUGGAAUUGGGGGUUCUGCUGGCCUUUGGUCGGCUCCCCUUGAAUGCAUUAGCUCGGCUUUCCUGGCGGACGUCACUGCGUGAUAAUUAUCUACGCUUUGAUUGCUCUGUGGGGAGCUCUUGGGUCGGGCUUAUAAUUGUCUUAGGACAGCUUUCUUUCAUUUUGACCUCAAAUCAGGUAGGACUACCCGCUGAACUUAA